AACGCACAUUGCGCCCCUUGGUAUUCCGAGGGGCAUGCCUGUUCGAGCGUCACUUCAACCUUCAGGCUCUGCUUGGUAUUGGGCACCGCCAGCAUCGGCGGGCCUUAAAAUCAGUGGCGGCGUCGCUAGGUCCUGAGCGUAGUAAUACUCCUCGCUACUGGAUGCUAGUAGAUGUCUGCCAUCAACCCCAACUCUUAAUGGUUGACCUCGGAUCAGGUAGGGAUACCCGCUGAACUUAA
This 239-nucleotide unclassified non-coding RNA is filed under the name Calycellina sp. RNAcentral describes it as "partial contains 5.8S ribosomal RNA, internal transcribed spacer 2, and large subunit ribosomal RNA". The stretch from base 1 to 52 matches the Rfam family "5.8S ribosomal RNA", at positions 103 to 154 of the family's 154-position model. The record is from RNAcentral. Lineage: Eukaryota; Fungi; Ascomycota; Leotiomycetes; Helotiales; Pezizellaceae.